This 468-nucleotide ribosomal RNA is filed under the name uncultured bacterium. Its description in RNAcentral is "partial 16S ribosomal RNA". It matches the Rfam family "Bacterial small subunit ribosomal RNA", at positions 28 to 507 of the family's 1533-position model. The record is from RNAcentral.
GACGAACGCUGGCGGCGUGCUUAACACAUGCAAGUCGAACGGAAAGGCCCUGCUUUUUUGGGGUGCUAGCGUGGCGAACGGGUGAGUAACCCGUGAGUCACCUGCCCUUGACUUUGGGAUAACUUCAGGAGACUGGUGCUACUACCGGAUAGGAGCUCCUGCUGCAUGGUGGGGGUUGGAAAGUUUAGGCGGGUGGGGAUGGACUUGCGGCUUAUCAGCUUGUUGGUGGAGUAGUGGCUUACCAAGGCUUUGACGGGUAGCCGGCCUGAGAGGUCGACCGGCGACAUGGGUACUGCGAGACGGACCAGAGUGGUACGGGAGGCAGCAGUGGGGAGUAUGGUACAAUGGGCGGAAGUCUGUGGCAGCAACGUUGCGUGCGGGAUGACGGCUUUCGGGGGGGAAACCGCUGUCGGCUGUUACGAAGCUGUAGUGACGUUAAUAGGUAAAGAAGCACCGGCUAACUACGUG